Diabrotica virgifera virgifera (western corn rootworm) is the source of this 857-nucleotide long non-coding RNA. RefSeq lists it as uncharacterized. The transcript has 3 exons. NCBI's taxonomy places the organism in Eukaryota, Metazoa, Arthropoda, Insecta, Coleoptera, Chrysomelidae. The record is from RefSeq and is a predicted model, not a curated record.
UCUACAGGUCGAGCAAGUCUCGUAAAUUUCACGAUUGCGAGCCACGCUUCACGCAACCGUGUUUGCGUACUUGUGUUUCAAGUUGCGUGGUCGUACGGAGUUAUAUUUACCAAAUUUAAAUAUAAUCGUUUUCAAAAUUAAAUCAAUAUGUCAAUAUGGCUACUGGGUGUAAAAGAUAAAUCUUAUUCUAUCUGUUCUUAAUGAGUUUUAGAUAAUUUUAGUUGUAUUUCUUUGUAAUUUUGUGUUGUACAAAGAUUAAUUUAACAUUUUCUCUGGAAGUAUUAAUUUAGAAAGAUAAUAUGCUUCAUUGGUGUUGUGUUUUGAAGUGUGAAAUGUGAUAAAGUCAAGAUAAAGUUCACUUUUAAACUGAACUAAAUAAGGUAUCUGAGAGACAACAAUGGUUAAAUGCAAUACAAUGUACAGGUUUUACUAGCGAAAUGAAAAUUUUCCUGUCCUGUCUGCUGUAAUCAUUUUAUAUCUGGAAAACCAGCCGACUUAAUAGAUAAUAACAAUCUCCAGAUUGGGUUCCUUCAAUAAAUAUGGUCUAUAAACACAAUGAAAUAAGUUCCCCAAAAUCUAAAAUGGAGUGGUAUCAAAGGAGAAUUAAAGGGAAAAAUAUUCAUAUUGAAAUUAUUUAUAAGGCACUGGACUGUCUUAAAUUCUACAAUAAUACUAGAAUCAGCUGAGAGAAGUGGUCUACAAAAAACCAGGAAGGAAACGGAAUAUGUGGCUACGAAAGGCAAAAGAAAUGUUUACAAAGCAAAUGUGACACAUUUUUUUGAAAUAUUUAGGAAUAUCAGUAAAUUGCAUUAAAAAAAUGUAUGAAAAGAUUUGUUCAAUAAAAAUGUUUAUAUUUA